Molecule: small nuclear RNA, 107 nt
Filed under: Prolemur simus (greater bamboo lemur)
Lineage: Eukaryota; Metazoa; Chordata; Mammalia; Primates; Lemuridae
Source: RNAcentral
AUGCUCACUUCGGCAGCACAUAUACUAAAAUUGGAACGAUACAGAGAAGAUUAGCAUGGCCCCUGCACAAGAAUGACACACAAAUUCAUGAAGCGUUCCAUAUUUAA